This 224-nucleotide ribosomal RNA is filed under the name uncultured bacterium. RNAcentral describes it as "partial 16S ribosomal RNA". It matches the Rfam family "Bacterial small subunit ribosomal RNA", at positions 524 to 748 of the family's 1533-position model. The record is from RNAcentral.
UACGUAGGGUGCAAGCGUUGUCCGGAAUUAUUGGGCGUAAAGAGCUCGUAGGCGGUUUGUCGCGUCUGCUGUGAAAACUGGAGGCUCAACCUCCAGCCUGCAGUGGGUACGGGCAGACUAGAGUGCGGUAGGGGAGAUUGGAAUUCCUGGUGUAGCGGUGGAAUGCGCAGAUAUCAAGAGGAACACCAGUGGCGAAGGCGAGUCCCUGGACGAUAACCUGACCA